Long non-coding RNA from Stylophora pistillata, 830 nucleotides. NCBI's taxonomy places the organism in Eukaryota, Metazoa, Cnidaria, Anthozoa, Scleractinia, Pocilloporidae. The record is from RefSeq and is a predicted model, not a curated record.
ACCAGUGUUCUAAUAAUUAUGCAGGGAAGGAACUUAAAGGGGUAAAGGACACCUGUCAGUUGAUUGAAACCGAAACCAAUCAGCUUUGGUUUGAAAUUAAAUGCCCUUCCCUACCUCGUCGAUUUUGUGUCCUGAUGUGGUGAAGAGACUUCGCUUUUUGUCUCGAAGAAUCCGUUGAUUGGCAAGAAAAAUGCAUUCAGUAACUCACGCGGCGACAUUUUCCCACAAAUAUUAUGGUGAACUCUGCAAAAAAGAGCCCAUCAUAUAGCUUAGGCGUCAAACAUUGUUACCACUACCUGGGUUGGGGAUUCUACAAAGUCUACACCAUGAUAAAGAUAACGAACUGAACAUCAACAAAGAAUGGUUAUCAGCCAAAACCGGAAGGCGUCAGUGGAAAGGAAAUCUUCGAUGAUUUCAACACCAUUCCUCGGCGUCUUUCAAACGAGAUACGCAACAACAGUCAGCAAAAGCAGGAAAAGAUAGAGGAAGUUUUUCUAAAAUUGAUCACUUUGGAAACAUCCCUGUUGGAAUACGGACAGUACAACCUUAAUCACACGACAACUGAACUAAGCAUGAGCAGCGCGCACGUGGGUAAUGCAAUUUCUCAAUGUGAUAAGUAUGUUCGAGAUAAUCGUCCCUUCCGGUUGAAGGGCCGCAUUGAAAUGGCGUUCAUCACAUGAAGUAGCCUUACCGCGGCAAUCUGGGGCAACAUACAUCCAUAUAAUGAAAUAAACCAGUUCUCACUGUUCUCUCCCUUACAUGCACAUUUCAUAUAUCUUGAAUAUGGAUUAAAGACUGUUUAUUUUGUCUUCCUUGAUCUAUCGAUAACC